This 802-nucleotide long non-coding RNA is filed under the name Citrus x clementina. RNAcentral's name for it is "Citrus clementina (C. clementina) long non-coding RNA (CCLE_LNC002030)". Lineage: Eukaryota; Viridiplantae; Streptophyta; Magnoliopsida; Sapindales; Rutaceae. The record is from RNAcentral.
AAAAAAUUGCAUUAAAUUUUAUGUUAUUUACGUAUAACAUUAUUCCUCAGUUUUUGUCCCCGCAAUUCUUCUGAGCGUAUAUUGCACGAAACAAAUUAAGAUUCUCUAUUGCUAGAAAUAAUCUCAUACAAAGCGUGAAAUUGGGAAAUGGCAACUAGCACAAGAAAUUAACAAUCCUUAGAUUAAGGGUCAAAAAGGUCAAAUAAUAGCGAGCAAUUGAAAUUGGAAAUAGCGAGCGUAAAUGUUGGAAAGUCGGUGAGGAUCACACCUACCCACCAUUUGAUUAAAACUAAAACAGAGAUGGUAAUCAUGUUCAAAGCAUAAGAAAGAGUAAAGUAGAGAGAGAGAGAGCGAAUUAAAGAGGCAGCUAUCAAUCAUGUUCUAGAAUCUAGAGAGUGAAGACAACGAAUGGUCUAAGAUUUUGCUUACUCUUUGAAUCUUCGAAAAUGUAUUUUAAAAUGGCGAAAUUGAUGCUAAAGUAAAAGCUAAAGCAAUCACAAUAACAAAUAUGAAGCCCAUAUGCUAGCUAGCUCGAUUAUAACUCCUUAAUUUCAAAAGAUGCUCAGAAGAGCCUUGAUUAAUUUAACUUCACAGUUGGUAUUUGACAUUGAGGGUAUUUAAUUUGCAGAUUAAAAAAAAAACCGCCAUCUAUUGACUUGUUAAUGUUUUUGAAGACCAAAACAUACCUCUCCCCCGUGCGAGAAAGCUUUUCGAGUUCUUUGAUUUCAAGAUUAUUAGCAGUUGUUGCAUCUAAACUAUCUGGGUCGCUAAGAGAGAUCCGCUUUUAAAAUUUUUGAAGCCA